UACGGAGGGUGCGAGCGUUAUCCGGAAUUACUGGGUUUAAAGGGUGCGUAGGCGGCUUUGUAAGUCAGGAGUGAAAGUUUGCAGCUCAACUGUAAAAUUGCUUUUGAUACUGCGAGGCUAGAAUUAGGAUGAGGUCAGCGGAAUGUGGCAUGUAGCGGUGAAAUGCAUAGAUAUGCCAUAGAACACCAAUUGCGAAGGCAGCUGGCUAGACCUGGAUUGACGCUGAGGCACGAAAGCGUGGGGAGCGAACAGGAUUAGAUACCCGAGUAGUCC
This 273-nucleotide ribosomal RNA is filed under the name uncultured prokaryote. RNAcentral describes it as "partial 16S ribosomal RNA". It matches the Rfam family "Bacterial small subunit ribosomal RNA", at positions 524 to 796 of the family's 1533-position model. The record is from RNAcentral.